Molecule: ribosomal RNA, 1236 nt
Filed under: Heyndrickxia coagulans
Lineage: Bacteria; Bacillati; Bacillota; Bacilli; Caryophanales; Bacillaceae
Description: bacterial SSU rRNA
Rfam family: Bacterial small subunit ribosomal RNA
Source: RNAcentral
ACCUGCCUGUAAGAUCGGGAUAACGCCGGGAAACCGGGGCUAAUACCGGAUAGUUUUUUCCUCCGCAUGGAGGAAAAAGGAAAGACGGCUUUUGCUGUCACUUACAGAUGGGCCCGCGGCGCAUUAGCUAGUUGGUGGGGUAACGGCUCACCAAGGCAACGAUGCGUAGCCGACCUGAGAGGGUGAUCGGCCACAUUGGGACUGAGACACGGCCCAAACUCCUACGGGAGGCAGCAGUAGGGAAUCUUCCGCAAUGGACGAAAGUCUGACGGAGCAACGCCGCGUGAGUGAAGAAGGCCUUCGGGUCGUAAAACUCUGUUGCCGGGGAAGAACAAGUGCCGUUCGAACAGGGCGGCGCCUUGACGGUACCCGGCCAGAAAGCCACGGCUAACUACGUGCCAGCAGCCGCGGUAAUACGUAGGUGGCAAGCGUUGUCCGGAAUUAUUGGGCGUAAAGCGCGCGCAGGCGGCUUCUUAAGUCUGAUGUGAAAUCUUGCGGCUCAACCGCAAGCGGUCAUUGGAAACUGGGAGGCUUGAGUGCAGAAGAGGAGAGUGGAAUUCCACGUGUAGCGGUGAAAUGCGUAGAGAUGUGGAGGAACACCAGUGGCGAAGGCGGCUCUCUGGUCUGUAACUGACGCUGAGGCGCGAAAGCGUGGGGAGCAAACAGGAUUAGAUACCCUGGUAGUCCACGCCGUAAACGAUGAGUGCUAAGUGUUAGAGGGUUUCCGCCCUUUAGUGCUGCAGCUAACGCAUUAAGCACUCCGCCUGGGGAGUACGGCCGCAAGGCUGAAACUCAAAGGAAUUGACGGGGGCCCGCACAAGCGGUGGAGCAUGUGGUUUAAUUCGAAGCAACGCGAAGAACCUUACCAGGUCUUGACAUCCUCUGACCUCCCUGGAGACAGGGCCUUCCCCUUCGGGGGACAGAGUGACAGGUGGUGCAUGGUUGUCGUCAGCUCGUGUCGUGAGAUGUUGGGUUAAGUCCCGCAACGAGCGCAACCCUUGACCUUAGUUGCCAGCAUUCAGUUGGGCACUCUAAGGUGACUGCCGGUGACAAACCGGAGGAAGGUGGGGAUGACGUCAAAUCAUCAUGCCCCUUAUGACCUGGGCUACACACGUGCUACAAUGGAUGGUACAAAGGGCUGCGAGACCGCGAGGUUAAGCCAAUCCCAGAAAACCAUUCCCAGUUCGGAUUGCAGGCUGCAACCCGCCUGCAUGAAGCCGGAAUCGCUAGUAAUCG